UGUUGCUCGCUCUGCCUUCAAGGUUCUCGAAACUUCUGUUUCUUCUUCUUCUUCUAACUAACUAACUAACUUUGAGUUAACAGCUAGUACAGAUACAGAAGCAGCACAAGCUCAUCAAGGCUGGCUCAUCUGUACUGGACCUCGGCUGUGCUCCAGGUGCUUGGCUUCAAGUUGCUUGCCAAAGCCUCGGUCCUCCCAAUCAUGGCGGUUCCGUUCUCGGCAUCGAUCUCAAGGUUUUUCAGUCGACUUGGAAUGGUUCCAGUAAUUGCAUUAGUUGGUUUUGAACUAUUUGACAGAGGGUUCCUUGUGGUUGGGAGCUGCGUCGAAAUUGGAAUUCCCAUGCUAAUACUGUUUAUAGCCUUAUCUCAGGAUGCCAUCUAAUUUAAAGCAGGGUCAGGAUGCUCAUAACACUGGGAUUCAUGUUGGCACCUUGAAAUGAGAGCAGGGAGUGGAUGAAGAAAACUGUCUCAGCAUCAAUGGCAGUGAAACUUAUGC
Long non-coding RNA from Arachis duranensis, 495 nucleotides. RefSeq lists it as uncharacterized. The transcript has 4 exons. The record is from RefSeq and is a predicted model, not a curated record. NCBI's taxonomy places the organism in Eukaryota, Viridiplantae, Streptophyta, Magnoliopsida, Fabales, Fabaceae.